UUUAUGGAGAGUUUGAUCCUGGCUCAGGAUGAACGCUGGCGGCGUGCCUAAUACAUGCAAGUCGAGCGAACGGACGAGAAGCUUGCUUCUCUGAUGUUAGCGGCGGACGGGUGAGUAACACGUGGAUAACCUACCUAUAAGACUGGGAUAACUUCGGGAAACCGGAGCUAAUACCGGAUAAUAUUUUGAACCGCAUGGUUCAAAAGUGAAAGACGGUCUUGCUGUCACUUAUAGAUGGAUCCGCGCUGCAUUAGCUAGUUGGUAAGGUAACGGCUUACCAAGGCAACGAUGCAUAGCCGACCUGAGAGGGUGAUCGGCCACACUGGAACUGAGACAUGGUCCAGACUCCUACGGGAGGCAGCAGUAGGGAAUCUUCCGCAAUGGGCGAAAGCCUGACGGAGCAACGCCGCGUGAGUGAUGAAGGUCUUCGGAUCGUAAAACUCUGUUAUUAGGGAAGAACAUAUGUGUAAGUAACUGUGCACAUCUUGACGGUACCUAAUCAGAAAGCCACGGCUAACUACGUGCCAGCAGCCGCGGUAAUACGUAGGUGGCAAGCGUUAUCCGGAAUUAUUGGGCGUAAAGCGCGCGUAGGCGGUUUUUUAAGUCUGAUGUGAAAGCCCACGGCUCAACCGUGGAGGGUCAUUGGAAACUGGAAAACUUGAGUGCAGAAGAGGAAAGUGGAAUUCCAUGUGUAGCGGUGAAAUGCGCAGAGAUAUGGAGGAACACCAGUGGCGAAGGCGACUUUCUGGUCUGUAACUGACGCUGAUGUGCGAAAGCGUGGGGAUCAAACAGGAUUAGAUACCCUGGUAGUCCACGCCGUAAACGAUGAGUGCUAAGUGUUAGGGGGUUUCCGCCCCUUAGUGCUGCAGCUAACGCAUUAAGCACUCCGCCUGGGGAGUACGACCGCAAGGUUGAAACUCAAAGGAAUUGACGGGGACCCGCACAAGCGGUGGAGCAUGUGGUUUAAUUCGAAGCAACGCGAAGAACCUUACCAAAUCUUGACAUCCUUUGACAACUCUAGAGAUAGAGCCUUCCCCUUCGGGGGACAAAGUGACAGGUGGUGCAUGGUUGUCGUCAGCUCGUGUCGUGAGAUGUUGGGUUAAGUCCCGCAACGAGCGCAACCCUUAAGCUUAGUUGCCAUCAUUAAGUUGGGCACUCUAAGUUGACUGCCGGUGACAAACCGGAGGAAGGUGGGGAUGACGUCAAAUCAUCAUGCCCCUUAUGAUUUGGGCUACACACGUGCUACAAUGGACAAUACAAAGGGCAGCGAAACCGCGAGGUCAAGCAAAUCCCAUAAAGUUGUUCUCAGUUCGGAUUGUAGUCUGCAACUCGACUACAUGAAGCUGGAAUCGCUAGUAAUCGUAGAUCAGCAUGCUACGGUGAAUACGUUCCCGGGUCUUGUACACACCGCCCGUCACACCACGAGAGUUUGUAACACCCGAAGCCGGUGGAGUAACCUUUUAGGAGCUAGCCGUCGAAGGUGGGACAAAUGAUUGGGGUGAAGUCGUAACAAGGUAGCCGUAUCGGAAGGUGCGGCU
This 1538-nucleotide ribosomal RNA is filed under the name Staphylococcus aureus. Its description in RNAcentral is "partial 16S ribosomal RNA". It matches the Rfam family "Bacterial small subunit ribosomal RNA". The record is from RNAcentral. Lineage: Bacteria; Bacillati; Bacillota; Bacilli; Caryophanales; Staphylococcaceae.